This 364-nucleotide long non-coding RNA is filed under the name Pan troglodytes (chimpanzee). RNAcentral's name for it is "long non-coding RNA NONPTRT012585". Lineage: Eukaryota; Metazoa; Chordata; Mammalia; Primates; Hominidae. The record is from RNAcentral.
CUCAGAUGCAGUGCAAGAGGGGCAUAUGCCUCGGAGACUCUAUGUUCCCCAAGCAGCUUUGUGAGCCUUGGGAGACCAGCUCAGGAUGAAGCCUUGUCUUCUGUUAUCCAUUGCUGCCUAUCUGUCUAUUGUGCAGAUGAGGAAACUGAAGCCCUGUUGCAAGGUGAUGGCUCUGUUGAAUUCUAGAGACUGCAAAGAUGAAGAAACUAAGAAACUGUGGCACAAAUUAUUAACUAUACUGCCCAAGGUCAUACACUGGAAAUGGGUGGUGAAGAUUUGAGAAGUUAAAAACUGUUUCCCUGCAUCACUUUUCCGAAACUAACAGAGACUUCAAGCAUGGUUUAAGGGCAGAGAUGGCGCUGUG